Long non-coding RNA from Chiloscyllium plagiosum (whitespotted bambooshark), 557 nucleotides. RefSeq lists it as uncharacterized. Lineage: Eukaryota; Metazoa; Chordata; Chondrichthyes; Orectolobiformes; Hemiscylliidae. The record is from RefSeq and is a predicted model, not a curated record.
UUUCCAAGAUCUGCAGUCUUUUGGUAUUCCCUCAAGUUUGCAUGACAAGUUGAUACUUUCACUUAUAUCAUCUAUUGCAGAUUUGUAAUUCUAGUUGGCCGAGGUGACCACAAUGACGGCUGCCCUUAUCACACAAUGUUGCUGGUGUUUCAAUGGCACCAAAGCAGACUCUAUCAAAAACUGAAAACGAGACUGACUGACUUCACAAGAAAAUGCAAUUGAAGGCAUUCUCACCUGGAGGAAUUUCAGUUAUUAGGGCCUAACCAGCAAUUGUGUUGUUCUAGUCAAAAUAACCUCAAGUUUUCAAGAAUGGAUUCAUCCCUGUCCAUAAUUGAUAGCAAUGAUUUCUUCCAAAGUUCAUGUUACUAACCAGUCAGCACUAUAGCCUCAUGCCAUUGCUACUUAGUAAUGAUGAAUACUAGUAAUUCAAUAUGAAAAUUGCUUUGACAUUCUGGAAUGUGGUAAGAUUCUUUAUAAAUUCAAAUAUUAUUUAACCGUUUAUCACUUAAGAUGCCCCAUUUUGUAUUUGAGGGCAGUGGUGGCCUUAACUGCAAUUG